Molecule: ribosomal RNA, 465 nt
Filed under: Bradyrhizobium sp.
Lineage: Bacteria; Pseudomonadati; Pseudomonadota; Alphaproteobacteria; Hyphomicrobiales; Nitrobacteraceae
Description: bacterial SSU rRNA
Rfam family: Bacterial small subunit ribosomal RNA
Source: RNAcentral
CGAAGCGGGCGUAGCAAUACGUCAGCGGCAGACGGGUGAGUAACGCGUGGGAACGUACCUUUUGGUUCGGAACAACACAGGGAAACUUGUGCUAAUACCGGAUAAGCCCUUACGGGGAAAGAUUUAUCGCCGAAAGAUCGGCCCGCGUCUGAUUAGCUAGUUGGUGAGGUAAUGGCUCACCAAGGCGACGAUCAGUAGCUGGUCUGAGAGGAUGAUCAGCCACAUUGGGACUGAGACACGGCCCAAACUCCUACGGGAGGCAGCAGUGGGGAAUAUUGGACAAUGGGGGCAACCCUGAUCCAGCCAUGCCGCGUGAGUGAUGAAGGCCCUAGGGUUGUAAAGCUCUUUUGUGCGGGAAGAUAAUGACGGUACCGCAAGAAUAAGCCCCGGCUAACUUCGUGCCAGCAGCCGCGGUAAUACGAAGGGGGCUAGCGUUGCUCGGAAUCACUGGGCGUAAAGGGUGCG